GCGUGAGUGAAGAAGGCUCUUUCCGGCGUUCUGUAAAGCUACUUGUUUGUUGGGAAGAACAGGAGUGAGAGUAACUGUUCAGCGCCAUUGACGGUAUUUAACCAGAAAGCCACGGCUAACUACGUGCCAGCAGCCGCGGUAAUACGUAGGUGGCAAGCGUUAUCCGGAUUUAUUGGGCGUAAAGCGAGCGCAGGCGGUUUUUUAAGUCUGAUGUGAAAUCCUUCGGCUCAACCGGAGAACUGCAUCUGAAACUGGCAAACUUGAGUGCCGAAGAGGGGGGUGGAACUCCAUGUGUAGCGGUGAAAUGCGUAGAUAUAUGGAAGAACACCAGUGGCGAAGGCGGCCCCCUGGUCUAAAACUGACGCUCAGGCUCGAAAGCAUGGGUAGCAAACAGGAUAGAUACCUGG
RNAcentral lists this ribosomal RNA (407 nucleotides) under Lactiplantibacillus plantarum. RNAcentral describes it as "bacterial SSU rRNA". It matches the Rfam family "Bacterial small subunit ribosomal RNA", at positions 399 to 790 of the family's 1533-position model. Lineage: Bacteria; Bacillati; Bacillota; Bacilli; Lactobacillales; Lactobacillaceae. The record is from RNAcentral.